This 24981-nucleotide long non-coding RNA is filed under the name Medicago truncatula (barrel medic). RNAcentral describes it as "long non-coding RNA (MTRU_LNC001207)". The record is from RNAcentral. Lineage: Eukaryota; Viridiplantae; Streptophyta; Magnoliopsida; Fabales; Fabaceae.
AAAGUACUGCUACUAAAUUACCAAAACCAAGUACUACUACUAUAAACCAAAUACUUGCAUCAUCCUAAUCAAGAGCUUUUCUCAGAUAAGGCUCCCAUCCAAGCAGGAGGCAACAUGCCCGUUUGCUCAUGGACAGUCUUAAACAGAGGUGGCAACAUCUUGUAGACACCAGCAACUUCUUUCAUACCCAUGGCACCAUCAGUUAUUCCCCCACUAUUAUCACCACCAUUAGUCCAAAUACUAAUCUUAGGCUCAAGUCCGCGUAUUGCCUCGGCAUUAAUCUUAGCAAUCUCUUGAAACAUGUCACCAUUUAUCAUCAAGUAAUCCCUUACAGCUGUGUAGUCGUUUCCAAGUGCAUUGAGAAGUGUACUUACAUACGCUCCUUGAGCUUGUCCAAGUGUCACAAUUCCCUCUGCCUCCUUUUUCUUUGCAUAAAGCUCUGCUUCAGCUGCUUGUUUGCUAGCAUAAAAUGUUGCAUCUGCCGACGCUUUCUGUGCUUCUGCCUCUGCCUUCUUCUCAUACAGAAUUGCUUCAGUCUCUUUCUGUUUCUUGUACAGCUCCCAGUUUGCUUCUUGUACCUACACCAUCCAAAGUUUUAAUCACCAAAAAAGUAAUACAGUAUAGUUAUAUAAUAGCCAACACUUAAAAGUAAAUAUUGAAAUUGAUUAAUCCAAUAUGGAUCACAACUGUUAAAUGUGAAUCAACCAACUGUUCCAUGUUAAACAAGCUGAAAAGGCAGGUAGUUAUAUUUCCAUAUUCUUCAUUUCAAAUUACAUACCACAAGUUAAUUACCACAUGAUUAAAGUAACUGAUAAAUGUUCAACAACUCUUCCAUCAUGAAAUUAUACUUAAUUGUAUAAUAAUUCAUAGGUAAAUUAACUAUGGAGUUUCGGUACCAUCAAUUAGGAAACAAUCAAAGGCCAACUUCUCAUUGUACUGGCGAGGGACUCUGACUUUUGGGAAACACUCAAUGGCCAACUAUGAUCCUAUACUCAUGUGUAUAUCUUUGAUCCUAUAUAAAACAUUUAUCACGACAAAACUAAGAGAACAGAUCAAGUAGUCUAAUUAUUUAAAGAAUGCAAAUUUACUAUUCCAUAUAACAUAAUCAAUAAUGAACUGAAUAGAGUAUUUUAAAAAUUAGAAUAUCUUUACAUUAGUCCACAAAAGUUGUCUUUAAAAUACUCCAUUAGAAUGUAAUUAGUGUUAUCAAAGAGGUGCCAAAAUUAAAUCACAGUAAUUUUAUUUUCCUAUCAACAGCUAUUUAUUUAUUAAUCUUAUUGCUAUUAUUUAAUUUCAGCAAAUAAAAAAUGAAUGAAGUUAUAUAUAUAUUUGCAUUGGACUAAACUAACCUUGGUUUCAUAUUGAACACUAGCUUUGCUAAGUAAAUCAGCUUUAAGCUUCUCAGUUGUAGUCAAUGCAUUCAUCCUCUCGACUUCACCUUGCAACUCAGCUUCCCUUAGAGCAACAGCCUUCUUCGCCUCGACUUCAGCCACCUGAGCCGCCUUGGUCCAAGCCGCUUUCUUCUUAGCCAACUCAGAAUUAGCUUGAGCCACUUCAGCCUCUCUUUGAUUCUCAAAAACCUUCACUUCAGUCCUCACUUUAAUUCCCUCCUUCUCACCCUCUCCAGCUCUCUGCAUCGCAAUAACCUUCGUCUCUGCAUCAAUUUUUGCUGCAUUCUGCAGCGUUUGUCCUUCCCUCAAUUUUGAACCAAUUUCACCUUUCAUCUUAGCUUCUGACACGUCAACCCUAGCUUGAUUCUUGGCUUCCAUCUGCGUCUUUUGACCCAAAUAUGAGAAAUACUCAUGACCGGGCACAUCCACCAAUUGCUUAACAUUCGCAUUGUAAAUCAAUAAUCCGAAUUGAUUCAACUCAAGUUGAACUUUGUCAAAUACUUCUUGUUUAAACUGUUUCGUUCCUCUGAAAACCUCCUCCAUGGUCAUGGAAGCAGCGAGGACACGUGUCUCCCCUUCGAUGAUUCCUUGAACGAGUUCAUUAACGUGAUUGGAGUGUCGAUCAUGAGGUGAAAUAAGUUUGGCGUAUUUGAGAAGGCUUUCCUGAUCGUCAACACGAGGACCAAUUGUGAAGACGGCGGGGAGAACAAAAGGAAGUUUCUCGGCACUCAUAGCUUGAACUUCAAAGGUGUAGUUUACCGGUGAGAGGUCCAAGACAGUGCAGGAUUGACCGGGAAAAAUCCAUGCUUUCUUUUUGAGUUUGAUGUCUUUGAUGAAAAUACCUGUUAUCACAAGGUAUUCUGAUGCUUUCGCGACCCGGUAAAUUUUCAUUCUUGAUGAUUUUGAGAAGAGACUCACUGAUUUUGGUUACAAGAAAAUCGAAACAGAACGAGAGAGAAACGAUUGUGAAAAUCGAUCAGAUUAAGUAACUGUGUUGUUCUUUAUUAUGGCCUAAGGUACUUGGUAGGCUUUGUAUAUAUAUAGAAAUUUGUUAGGUUAAACCCAACGCGGUAAUUAAUUAAAGGAAGAGAGAAUAGAAUAACUGAACGAUAAAAUAGUUAUAAUUUGUUAUGAGAUAUUGUUUUUUUUUUUUUUUUAACAAAAUCUCAUUGAUGUUUUUUAGGAAGGAAAAAGGAAAUAUCCUAUCCAAUUUUAUUGGUUACGUUAUUUGGGUUAAUCCACAUAAUUCUGAUUUUAGCCAAUGAAAAUAAGUUUGUUUAGAUUUCACUUUGGGUUAAGAAUGCUAGCCAACUGUCCCAGGGACCUUAGUUGGUAGAAACAUUGCAUAAUAUAAGCAAGAAUUGGAGUUCGAACUCCGAACAUCCCAUUUCUUUACAUUUAAUAUAUGUGAGUUUUAACUACUUGAUAAAAAAAAAUAUGCUAGACAAUUUACCGACAAUAUAACAAAUAUAAUAAAAAACUUAUCUUUUUCAAUAACACAUAUAAUUGGCUAGCAUUCAAAAACCAAUAAUAUAACAAGGGUUUCUCCAACAUGUUCAAUAUUUGUUAAAGAAACUAAAAUUAGCAUAUUUUUAUCCAAAAACAACAAUCAUUUAUUAAAAUGUUAUGUAUUUAAUAUGAAUUGCAAAAAUUCAAAUACAAACUUAUUAUUUUUAACUUUUUUUAAUAAUUAUUUUAACUUUUUAACAUGAUAGAAAACUUAUAUAACAAAUAUAAUAAAAAUUGUUAUUUUUUCAAUAACAUAAAAAAUAUAGCAUUCUCAAAAACAAUUUCUUUUAAAGGUAUAAUUGAAAUAAUAUAUAUAGGGAGUUGCUAACUUAGACCAACAUAAAAAUACUAAUGUCGAAGUUAGUAAGUGUGUAUACCUUUUUGAAAUAUUUUAUUAAAAAAUAUAAAUUGCAUCCAAACUAUCAUUUAUUUUAAAUUAAAUUGGAACUGAAUUUUUUUUGUCCAAAUAAAAAGUUACACGGUUGCUAACUUAGACCUUAAUGUUUUUAGGUUUAUCGAAAAACUUUAAUGUCCAAGUUAGCAAGUGUGCACUUUUUUAUUUGAACAAAAAUACUCAAUUGUUACUAUUCAAACAAAUUUUAAACGGAAAAAACCAUGAAAUGAGUAUGCAUACCGCCAAAUAAAAGAACCACAAAGUGAUGUUAGUCUUUCUUAAGGGCUUUGUUUUAGUUUCAAAAAAUUCCAUUCAUAAAAUACCAAGCAUGUAAAAGUGUAAAUUAAACCAUAAAAUACCAAGCAUAUAAUACAAGACUUUUAACCUGAAAAUCUGAAAGACUAGUGAAUCACACACAUAUAUCCGCCAAAUAAAAUUCCACAAUUAAUCUAUAAACAUAAUAGUUGCAUCAUCCUAAUUCAAGUUUUUGUCAGGCAAGACUCCCAUCCAAGCAGGUGGUAACAUUCCCGUUUGCUCAUGAACAGUCUUAAACAAAGGUGGCAACAUCUUGUAGACACCAGCAACUUCUUUCAUCGCACCUUCACCCCCACUAUUAUCACCACCAUUAGUCCAAAUACUAAUCUUAGGCUCAAGUCCGCGUACUGCCUCAGCAUUAAUCUUAGCGAUCUCUUGAAACAUGCCACCAUUUAUCAUCAAGAAAUCCCUUACAGCAGUGUAGUUGUUUCCAAGUGCAUUGAGAAGUGCACUUAGAUACACCCCUUGAGCAUUCCCAAGUGUCACAAUUCCCUCUGCCUCCUUUUUCUUUGCAUAUAGCUCUGCUUCAGCUGCUUGCGUGCGAGCAUAAAAUGUUGCGUCUGCUAAUGCUUUCUGUGCUUCUGCCUCUGCCUUCUUCUCAUACAGAAUUGCUUCUGCCUCCUUUUGUUUCUUGUACAGCUCCCAGUUUGCUUCUUGUACCUAUACCAUCCAGAAUUUCAAUCACCAAAAAAGUGAUCCAGUAUAGUUACAUUAUAGUCAACUAAUUGAAAAGGCCAAGUUAAUCGAUAUGCACAAUCGUUCAUAUAUAUAAUUUAUUUACUAGGUCUAAUAGGUAUUAACUAUUAAUUUCGGCAGAAUCAGUUAAGAUUUUUCCACUUCUAGUUUUAUAAUGCAUAUUAUGGGAGACAAUCAAAAGCCAACUGUGAUCUCAUUAUAUAUGUUUAUUGAUUGAUACUAAUCACCAAGGUUGUAAAAUAGUGUUGAAUUCUCUAUUAAAGCUUUUACGGUGACAAAAACAAGAGAACAAAUCAAGUAGUCCAGUUAUUUAAAAAAAUGCAACUUGACUACUCCAUAUAACAGAAUCAAUAAUCAAUUGAAUAAAGUAUGAAGUAUUUAAAAAAAAAAAAAAAAUAGAGUAUAUUUACAUUAGUUAUCAAAAGUUUUGUAUCCUUAAAAUUACUAAUCUUUUAUCACCCAUUGUCCAUUGAUCAUGAGUGUGACCGAUUUGGUUAAACCUCAAAAGGGACAGAGUUUAAAGCUCGAUUUAAACACAUAAAUAGAUAUGAAUCUCAUCACAUAUAUGUCAACAACUUUAAUUAAUCAUAGUGAUUUAAUUUCUAAUGAAAAUAUAACAAACUAUUGAUCUUGUUGCUAGCUAGUAAAAAUGAAUUGUAUUCAAAAAUUCAUUUUUUGUACAAAAAUAAAAAAAAGAAUUGCAUAAUAUUAAAGAAAUGAAGAUUUGCAUAAUAAUAAAUAAAUGAAAAAAUUAUAUAUAUUUGCAUGUACUAAACUAACCUUGGUUUCAUAUUGAACACUAGCUUUGCUAAGGAACUCAGCUUUAAGCUUCUCAGUUGUAGUCAAAGCAUUCAUCCUCUCAACUUCACCUUGUAACUCAGCAUCCCUUAGAGCGACGGCUUUGGCAGCCUCAACUUCGGCCACUUGAGCCGCCUUAGUCCAAGCCGCUUUCUUCUUAGCCAAUUCAGAAUUAGCCUCAGCCACUUCAGCUUCUCUCUGAUUCUCAAAAACCUUCACUUCAGUCCUCACUUUAAUUCCCUCCUUGUCGCCCUCUCCAGCCCUCUGCAUCGCAAUAAUCUUUGUCUCUGCAUCAAUUUUUGCUGCAUUUUGUAGUGUUUGUCCUUCCCUCAAUUUCGAACCAAUCUCACCUUUCAUCUUAGCUUCUGAUACAUCAACCCUUGCUUGAUUCGCUGCUUCCAUUUGUGUCUUUUGACCCAAAUAUGAGAAAUACUCAUGACCUGGCACAUCAACUAACUGUUUAACAUUAGCAUUGUAAAUCAAUAAACCGAAUUGGUUUAGUUCGAGUUGAACUUUUCCAAAUACUUCUUGUUUAAACUCUUUUGUUCCUCUGAAAACCUCUUCCAUGGUCAUUGAUGCAGCGAGGACACGUGUCUCGCCUUCGAUGAUUCCUUGAACGAGUUCCUUAACAUGAUUGGAGAGUUUAUCGUGCGGUGAAAUAAGUUUGGCGUAUUUGAGAAGGCUUUCCUUAUCAUCCACACGAGGACCGAUAGUGAAGACAGCGGGGAGAACAAAAGGAAGUUUCUCUGCGCUCAUUGCUUGAACUUCAAAGGUGUAAUUUACAGGUGAGAGGUCGAAGACGGAGUAGGAUUGACCGGGUAGAAUCCAUGCUUUCUUUGCGAGCUUUAUGUCUUUGAUUCCGAUUCCGGUUAUCACAAGGUAUUGUGAUGCUUUUGCUACCUUGUACAUCGUUGAUUUUGAUUUAAUUUUUAAAAAUCUAAAAAAAAAAGAAAAUAGAAAGGAAAAUUACUGAAGUCACUGUGUUCUUGCUUAUGGUGUAAGGUGUAUGGUAUGGAAGGCUUUAUAUAGAUAUAUGAUAAAGGAAGAGAAUGCAUGAUAGCAAAAUAAUUAGUAUAAUUUUAUUGGAUGAACCAUUUUCUACGCACACCUCUAAUUGGCUAUUAAAGAUUAUCGAUGGUUAAACUUAGUAUAUUUUUUGUCUCUAAUCCUUGGUUUGUUCCGUUGUUUUGGAAUUAAUAUUAUUAUUUGUUGUCUCUUCUUGACAUUUUCUUCUUCUUAUUUUCUUCUUCUUGUUUUUUCGGAGGCAUUUCCAAGAUAUUGCCAGUUGGAUUAUCUGUACGGAAUUGCAUCAGUAUGAUCUUUAUGUGUUUAUUGUUGACCAAUUGAUCGCGUUUACUAUUUUUUUGCGAAAAUGAAUGUUAAUUUCGAUGAAAUUGUCUGGAAUUUAAGAGAGAGUCAACUAUUCAUUCUUCUUCAAAAGGUUUGGCAACCGGCCAACCGUAAUAAUAAGCUAUUAUUUAUAAUGUUAGGAUGACGAUGAAUCCUUUAGGGCACUAUAGUGUUCUUUCAAUACCUGCGUUUCUAAAAAAUGUUCCUAUCUCCUAGACAAUAGCUUUAGUGUCUAUUCUUAUAUUUUAUGGGCACUUAAGUGUCCAUACCUACAUAUACUACCUAUACUUUAACUAUAAAAAAAAAAAAAAAAAAAAAAUAUCAUAAUUUAAAUAAAACUAUGAUCUAAAUCUUUUUAAAAUCAACACGUAAAAUAAUACGAAUUGUUGUAUUUAGUCAAAUAAAGAACAUCUAAAAUAUUCCUAAAAAAUUAUAGACCGGAGGGAGCAAUUACUACAUUAAGCAAUUUUUAGGUUUAGGUUUAGAUUUAAGAUGAAAUAACUAAAUUAAUUAAUUAAUUAGUUGUACACAAAAAAAAAAAAAUUAAUUGUACAUGCGGGGUGCGAGGUUGAGAAGUUACCCAUUUAAAUUUGUCCGCACUCAUAUCCAUUUAAAUUUGUGGGUAAUUACCCGAAUCCGAGCUCAAACCCAUGAAAGCGAAAUUUUACCCUAUCCAUUAAGAGUAUUUUUUUGCAGAUAUCCAUUAAAUCUGAGUCCAAUUAUGGAUAUCCAUUAAAUAUGGAUCCAAUUAUCAUCCCUAAUAACGUCAACAUGAGACUCUAACACAAACUUUUCAAUCUACUUGUUUUUUAUUGAUUAAUAUUUAAAUGCAUCCCACUAAAUAAGAUGAGAUCAAUAUGAAUUUAGUAGGACCAUAUGAUUUUUGACGAAUUAAAUGUGUGUCAAAUAAUGUGUUUAGAAAAAAUAUUUAUGAAUUACUUAAUAUAAUUAGACAAAAUUAAUUUGGUAAUUUCCUCUAAAAAAAAUUAAUUUGGUAAUCGUCGUUUUUUCAUGAACUUAUAUCUUAUUUUCAUUUGACGAUAAAAAAUUUUAAUAAGGCACUUCAAUAUUUUAUUUUUUAACACACAUUUAAUCCAUCAAACUGUUAAUUUUACAAACCAUUAUAAAUUUUAUCGUUUAAAAAAGUGUUACUUUCAAUUUUCAAUGUAGUAUUAUUUAAUUUUUUAUAAUCUUGAAUAGUUUUUUUUUUAUGAAAUAUAAUAUUGUAUAGUUUAUUUAAUACUCCAUAUAUCAUUAUAAAUAUAUUAUUUCUCACUAAACAUUCACAAAAAUAAAAAUAUGCUUUCGGUUGAUAGGAUAGUUUAUUAAAAUCUUCAUUCUUUUUCUUUAAUUUAUUAGUUUUUUAUUUUAUUUGAGUGAAAUUGUCAAAAGCAAUCGUUUUUUUUUUUUGUUAAGUAGCAUAGUGGCUAGAGCUCACACAAUUAAAUUGUGGAGAAGUGAAGUGUCCGGGGUUCGAACCCUGACCCCUACAUAUAAUAUGCAAUAUUCCUACCAAUUGAGUUAAGUUCAUGGGAAUAUCAAAAGCAAUCGUUAUUGUAGGACAAACUAAGUAUUGCUUUUUAAAAAAUAAAUCAAUGAUGCAGAGAUAAACUUAAGAUUAUUUUAAUUUUUUAUGGUCAACUUUCUUUUAAAAUAUUCAUAUAUUUUUUAUCACAACAAAAAAUGAAAGUUAAUGACCAUGAAGGCAUGAACUGCUGUUGACUGCAGUUAACUGCUGAGGAAUUAAAAAGCCGGCUGCAGUUAACUGUUAAGGAAAAUUUCGGUAGUUAACUGCCGCCGAUUUCAUUUUUUCUCGGUAGUUAACUACCGAGGCGUCCUGAAGCCAUAAAAUGGCAGAACCUGUUGCAUGUGUUUUUACACAUUGUUUCAAUGCUAAAUCAUAAAGAAAAUAAUUAAACAAACACGCAUAUAAAAUAAAAAUUAUAACAAACACACAUAUAAAAAAAAAUAAAAAAUUAAAACAUUAAUUUGUGUUGCAUAUGAUAAUUUAAGAUAAUUAAAAAUAACACUUAGAUUAUCUGAAUUAUACUAAAGCGGCAAUGCCACAUGCUUGACAUAAGAGUGCAGCAAAGAUAGGUCUUCCGGUCCUCUAGGAAAGGGAGGGUCCACAGGUAACACCUCCAGGGCAGCCGCUGCUGCAAUGUCAUCAUCAUCUGCUAUAUGCUGCUCCUCUAGUAUAUGAUCCUGGUCAUAUCCACCAUCGGUCACAUCGUGGUGUACCUGAUCCUGAUAAUUCAGGUACUCCACCUGCUGGCUCGGAUCAACCACCUGCGACUCUUCAGGCUGUGUAGCCCGAGAAGCCUCCUGCGAACUCCCUGAACCAUCCACCCUCCGACCUCUUCCCCUCUUUGGGAUGUGCCCGCUUUCGCUCUCCUUCCGGUGGCUCUGAGUCAUCGCACGCCUACCAGCAAUCAUCUUAGAUGGAUCAACCGGAUUCUGAUCAGACAUAUCUACACAAAAUUUUUAAAAAUUAACAUCAUUUCCAUAACCUAAUCAAACACGUUAAACCUAAACUAAACAUAAACAUAAUCAAACACAUUAAAAGUACAACAAUGAACAUCAUUUCCAUAACCUAAAAUCAUUCAAUAUAAUCAUCAUUACAAUAAAAUUUAUGUCCAUCAUUUCCAUAAUAACCUAAACAUCAUUCAAUAAUUUACAUACACUUAAUCAUUUGUGUCCAUCAUAAUUCUUGUAAGCUAAACUAACUAAAAAAUCAAUAUACAAUUAACCAAACUAUAAUUAACAUCAUUUCUAUCAUUUUCAUAACCUAAACUAACUAAAUAAUCAAUAUAAUUUUCAUUGAAGCAUUUGAUCAAACACUUUGUGUGCAAAGUAUAAAACAUAUUCAAAUUGUGUUCAUUUGCCACCAUUCAAAGCCACAUUAUGAUUUUAACAACAUAGGCAACAACUACAUUCAUUUAUCAAUUCAUAAACUACACAUGCAAUCAUCAAAUUGUCAAUUUUAAAAUCAACCUUAACCACAUGCAAACUACUCUAAUUUUUUUUUAAAAAUAAACCUAAACAAACUAACAUUAUCAUUAAAGUGAUUGAUACAACUUACUUGUGAUAAUGUGCAGUUGAUUUUCUUGCAAUUCGUGAAAAUGACUUUGGUGAAGAUUAGAGAGAAAUUGAGAAUUUUUUAGAGAAGUUUAGAAACUAACAUAUUUGUGUUUCUGAUUAUGUUUAUCUUCAGCAUGCCUCGACAGUUAACUAUCGCGGUUUUCCUCGGUAGUUAACUGCAACCGGAUUUUUAAUUCCUCGACAGUUAGCUAUCGAGGGGGCAAAAACGUAUUUUACUCGUGUUUCUCAGCCUUAUCAAAUAUGUUAAUGGCAAUUCUCCAUAAACUUGUUGAUGUUGCGUUUAGGUUACUCUUAAACAGACAGGUAAAAAAAAGUUUAUUCAUGAACGGUUCCUUGUGUGGUACCCACGAUAAAGAAAGAUUAAAGAGAAAUGAUAUUUGUACAACCAUUUUGUGACAACUUUGUGACAAUUUUCUCUCUCAUACUCACAUUAUACUCUUAUUCUCUCUCUUCAUUUUUCUCUCUCCAUUAUUUUUAACCAAUGGAAAAAGAAAGAAAAAAAAUUGUCACAAAAGUUUUAUCAAAUAAUUGUUCAAAUAUCACAACUCUUUUGAACAAUUCACUUAUUUUUUACCAUGCUUGUGCAAAUAAUAAUGUCUUUUCAAGCUUGGCAGUACAAAGGUGGCCCUUCAACAAUAUGAGGGAAUUGUGAAAGUAUUUGUGAAAGUUUUUUUUUAAAAUGCUAACAAGUUUUUCCUUGACACUCUUUAAAGAUCUUUAAUAGUAAGUUCUUAUAAAAAUUUACGUAUUUAGUAAAUUGAAAAUUGAAUUGUUUGACUUUUUAAAAUAAUAAUUUAUUAAUUUGAAAUUCUUAAAGAGCGUUUGUGGCAUUCGUUAGCAAGAUUUGUUUUUUUAGGAAAUUGUGAAAGUCUAUGUCUACUGCAAUUUUGACUUUCAAAAGCAUUUUUAAGUGCUAUCAAAGAGUCCUUAAUUAUGGUGCUCAAUCUAAUAUAAAUGCUGCAAUUUUAUCAGGUAGUAGAGAAUUGGAAGAAAUUCGGUGGUGGCCUCUGGAUUUUGGCUAUAUUCAAAUGAAUACGGACGGUGCUUCUAAAGGUGGUUUAAAUGCAGGUUGUGGAGUGGUGCUCAGAGGUGAUAACGGAGAAUGGAUUUGUGGGUUUUUGAAAGGGUUGGGCUCUUGUGGUGUUUAUGCCAGAGUUGUGGGGUGUGUUUGAAGGAUUGAAGUUGGCUCAUUCUCGUGGUUACCGUAAAGUGGAGCUUCGCAUAGACUCUUCGAGUGUGGUCUCUUCCAUAUCCUCUGAUCAAGGUGGUUCAGUAGUUGAUCGGACACUACAUCAUAAUAUUCAACGUUUGAUUGACUGAGAUUGGGAAGUUCAAGUUCGUCACUCCUUUAGAGAAGCCAACGCUUGUGCAGAUGUGAUGGCGAAUUUGGCAUGUGAAAGUGAUUUUUCUUUGAUUUUAUAUGAGCAAUGUCCCGCUUAGAUUAGAUCUCUUUAUUUAGCAGACUUUGUUAGCAUUUCUACUUCGUGUUUUGUGAAACGAUAGUUGCUUUCUUUCGGGCUUCGGCCCUCUUGUUGUCCAAAAUAAAUUCUGCUAUUACUGGUAUCCCACCUAUAACCUAUAAUAGUGUUUUUAAAAGCUAUUAAAAGCCUCUCUUUAGUAGCCCUUUCCUUAAAGCGCUAUGGUAUCCUAAUUUGAUGCGACUUAAAAAUAUUUUUCGAGCAGGAUUUAAUAGCGCCUGACAAAAAAAAAAACACUAUUAUAAUUGGGCGAUGCAAUUUUGGGGAGACAAUGUGUGUGAUACAUGAAGCAUAUAGAUCACAAUUGUGAAGUGUUGAAUAGUGGUCUUUGAUCUUUAGAAUGAAAGAAAAACAAAAGGAGUACUAGUGCAAUAUGACUCAAUAAGUAUCAAAGUAAUUCGAAAACAAUAUAGUUAAUUUCAUUAAUUCAAUGUGAAAUUAUUACAUAAUAGUGGAUUAGUGGUCAAGUAAACUCACAAACCCCUAACCAAGUUGUUUGGGCUCCAGUGACAAGGAGUUUCUUCCAAGGACAUAUCCGGGGAAUACCGGGUUCGAUUCCUAGGGGGAACAACACUUGGCCAGUGCGCAUGCCUCUACGCAUGAGCCGGAUUAGUCGUCCACCAUUGGUGGAUCAGAAACCGAUGUGAAAACCAAAAAAAAAAAACUCACAAACCCCUUUUACAACCAUUGACUCAAUUUUACAAUCGCAAUGAUCAAUAUAAAAUAAAGAGCGAUCCUAUAUAGUGUGAAAGAAAACAUAGCGAAAGCUUCCCGAACCAAAACUAACUAAUUACAGUUUGAUGUUUGGCGGCGGAAUACAAGGAGGUGCUUGCUGAAAAAACAGAAAUGAAAUAAACCUCCAAUCAAAACUAACCAGAUAUUGUCGUGGUCUAUUCGCUUGAUAUUCUCUAGCGAGAAAAAACAUUUCCCUAAAAUAAAUGAUGAUCGAAAUACAAACAAAUGAUAUUCAUCUCACCCUUGUCAUCAAAAACAUGAAAAUGAACUUCAUUCAAUACAUUAUAAUCAAAGUAACAUUUAUGGGUUCUGGAUUGAGAAAGAAUUUUCUGUCAAUACUUCACAUCCCCUCCACACUAAGAAGAAAAAAUCAGGUGUGAUGAGCCACAUUGCAUUUACCUGCCUUCUACCACUAAUAGGGUUAAUACCUUCUAUUACGAUUUCCAUCAUCGUUACGACUACCUCCUACACGCAAUAGCCGACCACCUGGACCAUUUUCCCUUGCCAUUUAUGCAGGGUCGGAGAGCUGGAACCUAAACACCAGGGGUAAAAAUUGACAUUGAAAGAGACAAAAUAGUGAUGGAAAUGAGUCAUAGGUUAACACUUGCAGGUUCUCAAUAAGAUCUAUACCUACGGCCAAAUUAGUGGGUAUAGGAAAUUAAAAAGGAAGAAGAAAUUUUUGUGAUAUACCCACGGAUUUUUAACCUUUAUGUUGUGAAUUCGGUCUCAAAUUUCACAGCAAUACAAAUUAUAUGAUGUGUGGAGCAAGUAUCAAUGGCAACCAAUAACCAAAUGUAAAUAACCACAAGCAAUAACAACAAUCUAGAUCUAAUCUAGAAAACAAGUGCAUAGCAAAACCACAAUCUAACCAAAGGAUAAACAAGAUAAAGAGAGUAGAGAAAAAUAGACAACAACACCAAGAGAUUGUUCACCCAGUUCGGUCCAACCAUGACCUAGUCUGGAGGAGAGAUUAAUCUCUCCAAUCCACUAUCAAUGAGUUCUUACAAAGAGAUACAAAAUGGGUUACAAGAAAUUAGCUUCAACAAGCUCACAAAGAACAACCUUAAUUUCUACCCAUUUUCCCAAUCUCACCAACGAACAAGACACUCAUGAUUUUCACUCUCCCAAAGUGUUUACAAUUGUUUCCCAACUCUAGAAUCUAACCCCCAAAAGAGAACCAACCAUUAGCCUUUGAUUUCACUAAGGAUCUUCUCUUUUGGUUUCACAAGACUCAACCCAAGUUGCUCACAAAAGACUCUCCACUCAUAUGUUUCCCAACCCCAUGAAUCUUCCCCAAAAGGCACCAACCCUUUUCACAAUAGCCCCCUCUUUUGGUUCUCCAAGAUUCACAUCUUGAAACUUUGAACCUCACCCAAAGACCCUCAACCUUUAGUAUCUAAAACCCUAAAAGUUCCCUCCUUUGGUUUCCAUGAGAUUCACCAAGCUUACCCAACAAAUGGGUCAAAGAAUGCAUAUAUUGUGUUCAGAUCCGGACAAAAUCGUGACACAUUUGGUGCGUACGACCCAAGGUACGACCAACCUUAUCCUGAAAACAUGCCCAGCAAGCCGAAAAUCGUGUCACGUUUCCCCAACAUCGUGUCACGAUUGGACACCCUGCAAAACAUGCUCACGGCAUUGCAAAAUCGUGACACGCCUGUAAAAUCGUGUCACGAUUUCUCUGUUUUCUAAAACGCAAAUUGAAGGCACUUUACAACACUUUACCUGCAGACUUUUAGCUGUCAUUAUAGGUCAAUUUUGUUGUAGUGUGAAUAAUUAUUGAGGUGCAUUCUCCAUGUCUAAUACUCCUGCACCUGGUAAUUUGUAGGAAAACGUGAGCUGUACAUAGAGUCCAAUAAAUAUGGUGAGGUACUGCCAAUAAGAUUUCUUUUUCAUGUUUACCUCUUUUCUUCCAAAUUCAAAUUAAAAACAAAUAAGAUAGAGAAGAAGAAAAAAUGAAACUCAACACUAUUAACAAUUACCUCCAAUUAGUGCUUCACGUUAGCUAAUCUGUACUAAGUUUUUUCUCAUCUAUAAACAAUAAAUUGGCCCCUUAGAUCAGUUCUCAAAUUUCACAAAUAAAAAUAUUACUUCUAUUUUAACAAUAAUCAGUUUGCAAUAUGAAAAAGAAAUUAAGAAACACCUAUACCAAUAGAAGUAAUAGAACAUCAUUUCUAUUUAUAAUUUAUAGUAUGGGUAUGCAUGGUUAGUUGUAACACAUCCCAACCCGCCCCUUGUUCACCCCUAUCUACUUCCUGAAAAACAUCCCAAAUGAUCAAUCCCAACUUGUUCUCAAUAUAACAAAGUAAAUAAAAUUUCCUACCAAUAUAACAGAGUUAAUAAAAAUUUGUUCACAUUUCAAAAUAUAGUUAUUCAAACAAUGCAAAUUUAGAGGGUUUUUUGUAAGAGUAAAGUUCAAUGUAAUUUGUACCAUUUUUUGCUGGAUGUUCCUGUUUGCCUUUGGUGGGUGCCUAAUGACUUUCUAGCCUGCUUUUGUUUCCGUCCUGUAUACAUCUGUGUAUUUAGUCAUGGUAUUCUAAUAUACUGUGAAUGUAAGUUAAGCUGGUUUUUCUCCCUGCUAGUGAAGAGUUACCCUGGAAUUUCUGCCUCUGUCCAGGUACAUUUUGUGCUUGGAUUGGUUAUUAUUCAAUAAAUUUGGUUGUUUAAAAAUAUAAUUAAAAAAAAAAAUUGUACCAAAAACAAUCCUGCCAUAGACAUAGUCAGCACUACUCUCAAUUAAGUACAUAAAGAGAAAGUGAAAAAAUUAUUGAUUAAGGAUUUGUUACAUAUAACUUAUUGAAUAAAACUAAGUUGAAUAAAAAACAACAAAGAUCUACAAUAUUAACCGCAAAGAGCCUUUGCUGAAGGUUUUUCCUAUUUCAAAACAUGGUAUGUGAAAUAGAAGUAAGAACUCUUUUUUUUUUUUUUUUUUUUUGAGAACAAGUAAGAACUCUUGUUAUUUCAUGAAUUAUGCAUGCUAUCAAUAUAAUAACCACAAUGUGAUGUAAUCAUAUGGAUCUCAUGGAUCAUAUUAACAAAUUUUUUGUUUGAUGGAUGGAUUGGAUGGAUCAUAUCAUUGAUGUUAGUCCCUGUCAAGAGUUUUGUUUUAAACACCAAAAGUGCAUUCAAAAAAAUACCAUGCAUGUAAAAAUGUAAAUUAAAUUGUCAUAUAACAUAAUAGUUUGAACCUAAAACUAAUAAAAGACUGGUGAAUCAAACACAUCAAUCACACAAUAAAAGGUACUACUGAUAUAAACCUAAUACUUGCAUUGCAUCAUCCUAAUUAAGGGCUUUUCUCAGAUAAGGCUCCCAUCCAAGCAGGAGGCAACAUGCCCGUUUGCUCAUGGACAGUCUUAAACAGAGGUGGCAACAUCUUGUAGACACCAGCAACUUCUUUCAUACCCAUGGCACCUUCAGUUUUUUCACCACCACUAUCACUACCAUUAGUCCAAAUACUAAUCUUAGGCUCAAGUCCGCGUACUGCCUCGGCAUUAAUCUUAGCAAUCUCUUGAAACAUGCCACCAUUUAUCAUCAAGUAAUCCCUUACAGCUGUGUAGUUGUUUCCAAGUGCAUUCAGAAGUGUACUUACAUACGCUCCUUGAGCAUUCCCAAGUGUCACAAUCCCCUCUGCCUCUUUUUUCUUUGCGUAUAGCUCUGCUUCGGCUUCUUGCUUGCAAGCAUAAAAUGUUGCAUCUGCUGACGCUUUCUGUGCUUCUGCCUCUGCCUUCUUCUCAUACAGAAUUGCUUCAGCCUCUUUCUGCUUCUUGUACAGCUCCCAGUUUGCUUCUUGUACCUACACCAUCCAGAGUUUGAAUCACCGAAAAAGUGAUUCAGUAGUAUAGUUAUAUUAUAGCCAACGCUAAAUAUUGAAAACAUUCAUCCAAUAUUAAAGUUAAUAAAGUCAGAUCUCAUUAAUAUGUUUAUUGAUACCUAUCACCAAGGUUGUAAAAUACUGUUAAAUUCUCUAUAAAGCUUUUAUGGUGAAAAAAACAGGAGAGAACUAAUCAAACAGUCCAAUUAUUUAAAAAAUGCAACUUGACUUCUCCAUAUAGCAGAAUCAAUAAUCAAUUGAAUAAACUAUAUUAAAAAAUAGAAUAUCUUUACAUUAGUUAUCAAAAGUUUUGUAUCCUUUAAUUGGUCUUUAAAAUAUUAAAAUAUCCUAUCAUUAAUCUUCUAUCACCUAUUGUCCAUUGAUCAAGAGUGUGACUCAUUUGGUUAAAACUUAAAAGGGACAAAGAGUUUAAAGCUCAAUCUAAACACAUGAAUAGAUAAUAGUAUCAUUGCAUAUAUGCCAACAACUUUAAUCACAGUGAUUUAAUUUCCUAUCAAAACAUAUGAAAUUAUUAAUCUUGUACCUAGCUAGUAUAAAAGAAUUGCAUAACAAUAAAUAAUGAAGAAAUUACAUAUAUUUGCAUAUUAAACUAACCUUAGUUUCAUAUUGAACACUAGCUUUGCUAAGGAACUCGGCUUUAAGCUUCUCAGUAGUAGUCAAAGCAUUCAUCCUUUCAACUUCACCUUGUAACUCAGCAUCCCUUAGAGCCACGGCCUUCUUCGCCUCAACUUCAGCCACCUGAGCCGCCUUAGUCCAAGCUGCCUUCUUCUUAGCCAACUCAGAAUUAGCCUCAGCCACCUCAGCCUCUCUCUGAUUCUCAAAAACCUUCACUUCAGUCCUCACUUUAAUUCCCUCCUUGUCACCCUAUCCGGUCCUCUGCAGUGCAAUAACUUUUGUCUCUGCAUCAAUCUUCGCUGCAUUCUGCAGCGUUUUUCCUUGCCUCAAUUUCGAAUUUCACCUUUCAUCUUAGCCUCUGCCACGUCAACCCUAGCUUGAUUCGCUGCCUCCAUCUGCGUCUUUUGCCCCAGAUAUGAGAAAUACUCAUGACCAGGCACAUCCACCAAUUGCUUAACAUUUGCAUUGUAAAUCAAUAAUCCGAAUUGAUUCAACUCAAGUUGAACUUUGUCGAAUAUUCUUGUUUAAACUGUUUCGUUCCUCUGAAAACCUCCUCCAUGGUCAUGGAAGCAGCCAGUACACGUGUUUCCCCUUCAAUGAUUCCUUGAACAAGUUCAUUAACAUGAUUGGAGAGUCGAUCAUGUGGUGAAAUAAGUUUGGCGUAUUUGAGAAGGCUUUCCUGAUCGUCAACACGAGGACCAAUAGUGAAAACGGCAGGGAGAACAAAAGGAAGUUUCUCGGCACUCAUAGCUUGAACUUCGAAGGUGUAGUUUACCGGUGAGAGGUCCAAGACGGAGCAGGACUGACCGGGAAUAAUCCAUGCUUUCUUUGCAAGUUUUAUGUCUUUGAUGAGAAUACCUGUUAUCACAAGGUAUUCUGAUGCCUUUGCUACACGAUGAAGUCCCACUGUUGAUGAUAUUUGAAUUUGGAAAACCUAGAUUUCGAAAUGACAGAUGAAGUGACUGUGUUUGUAAGAAUAUAGAAUUUGUUAGGUGAAACGUGACGCCAUCAAAAGAAGUAAAAGUAAGAGUGAGUGAACAGAAUAAUUCCAAGAUACUUACAAUUUUAUCGGAUCUCAUUCGAGUUAUUUUAGGACGUAUAAAGAAAAAAUCCUAUCCAAUAUCUCAUUUUUCAAGCAAAAAUAUCCUAUCCAAUUUUAUUUUUUUUACAAUAUUGGUUAUAUUAUUUUGGCCAUUAAAAAAUAGGUUGAUAGCUUGACAAAAAAAAAAUUGAUGGUCAAAUUUUUUUUUUUAAUCUUUAAUCCUCCAAGAAGAAAAAAAAAACAUGUUAAUUGAGAGUUAGGCAAAGAGAUAAAUAAUUUUUUUUUUUUUUGAAGAAGCUAAAGUAGCCCAUCAAAAUUGACAUCAAAGAAAAUUGAAUAUGAGAUCUUGAGAAGAGGCAUACUCUAAGGUUCAAAGCCAACAUCACUAAAUCAACCCAAAUGGUGUUAAGAGAUACAUAAAAUUAAUUUGAUUAAAAGUUUUUUUAGCUAACGUUUAUUUUCAAGUUCUUUUGAACAAUUCGUGAACUCAUUAUAAACACGUGAGACUAAUUAAUUGAUUGUUAGCCAAAAUAUUAUACCGAUUAGAAAUAGAUCUUUUUGUAAAAUUAAAAUAGAACUUGAGUUUUUCUGUGUUGAGAAUAGGAAUAGAAGUUAAGCUGGAUCACUUGGAUAUUCAUCUUGUUUCAUAUUAAACCCAAUUUCAAUCAUUCUUGACGGAAAAAAAAAAAUUCAAAAAAAAUUGUUUUGAUUAGAAUUUGAAUAAUUUUCAAGGUUUCCAAGGGAAAUUAGAGAUUUUAAAAUAGACCAAGGAGUGUGAAGUAAACAAAAUUAAUCCAAAUAAUUCUUUUUGCAACUCGUACAUAUAUAGGCCAUGCUUGGAUAAACAAACUAACUCAUACAACAACACGUCACAAAAAAUUCCUAUUAUAAUCUUUAUCACAGGUAAAAUGACCCAUAUAAUGAUCUAUUGGAAGGUACACCACUCUGAUCUCUGCCUCCUUAGCCCAGAAGUUGCGUACCUUGGCUUCCAUGAACCAACUUCACACCCUUUUCCCCAGUACGUGUAGCAUUAAAGUGUGCUUCCACGGGAAACACCGCAAUUUUAACUCAUUCUUGGUUAGUUUGAUAUAAAGCUACAUUGUAUCCUCGUUAACAAUGGCUUUCAUACCUUCGAUAUUUUAUCAGCAACAAAUCAAUAAAAGAGGACUCUAUUUCAAAAUCUUGUGCACCCUCCAUCUCCAUGAGUUUAUCUUUGAAGGAACAUACACCUUUUUCAUUAAGACCUAACUCCGUCCAGGCCUCAACUUUAUAACCAUUAAAAGGUAACACACUACAAAUCAAGGACAGGGUGUAGGAUUAGUGGAAACCCUAAAUACCAACAUUCAAUUUAUUUACUAAUUGAGUGCAGAUAAUUGAGUCAUCUUCCAUUUCGCAGAUAAUUGACUCUUUAAGAUGAUAAUUGAGUGCAGAUCAAAUUGCAAUGUUAAAAAUUGUGAAAGGAAAGAACGAUCAUGAUGAGAGCGGGGGGAUUGUCUGUGAAUUCGUGAUAACAGAAAACGAAAAUGAAAAUGAAAACUGCGCAAAUUAAAACAAAUGACUUUUAAUAUGGGGUAACUUGAUUUUACAGGUGUAUGUAGUAGUGUGAUUUUGAUGUAGUAAUGAGAAUUUAAAGAUACUCGUGUUCAUUUUGGAACCAUUUAUUGCUUUUUAUUAAAGAAAUGGAAACAAAUGUCGCAAUGCAGAGACAACUUUAAAGAGCUACUACUUUGUUUUAUUAUCAAUUUUAUUUUGAUAUGAGAACAAAAAAAUGAAAGUUAAUGACGUUGGACUUAAACUUGCUUAACAAGUUAUUCAUAAAUGGGUUCUGGUAAUAAUAGCCUUUCUGACAAGGAUUUGAAACAAUGCACUUAUUUCUGACCAUGCAUGUGCAAAAUAUAUUAAUGCAUUUACGUUUUUUCUUUUUAGGGGUAUGCAUUUACUACUUAUUACAAUACAAAAGUGGUCCUUCUAUAACAUAUAAUGGAAAUGGGGAUUAUUCAAAAUACCUCGCAUGGUGUAUUAGUGUACCAUAUAUAUGACACAUCGUGUAUUGUUUGUAAAAGACUAAAAGUAGUCUUUUUUUUUUUUAAGCGGAUUGAAUAUAUCAUAUAUUAAAAUCAAGACUGUCAAAUGGACUCCUGAUAAAAUAAAAUAAAAACGUAAAUUUUUCAAAGAGUCGUCUUCUAUUUAAAUUAUCAAUAAUAUAAAAUUUAGCGGUUAGGAUGAUAAAAAUCAGACAGAGGAGAAUUGCAGUGAUGAUGGUUGAGCAGCGGCACGGCAAUAGCGGUGAGAGGGAUGGUGUCCAGGAGAGGAAAAAAGUUGAAGGGAUGGAUGGUGUCAAAGGACGUAGUAGAAGCGAAAAGCAUGAUUUGAUUUCAAUUUAUUUUGUUGUUGGUGGUGGAUGUGGGUUAGGUUAGAACUAUCAUGAUUUUAACAAGUGAUUGGAGCUACCAAGCUACCAUAUAACCAAAAUUUUGAGGCCCUGUAAAUUGGUAAAGAACUCGUUAUUUCAUGACUUACGCAUACCGACAACAAAAAUAACCACGAUGUGAUGAUUGUCCCUGUCAGAAGUUUUGUUUUAAACGCCAAAAUUCCAUUCAAAAAAUACCAAGCAUGUAAAAAUGUAAACUAAAUCAUCAUAUGACAUAGUAGUAGUUUGAACCUAAAACUAAUAAAAGACUGGUGAAUAAAACACAUAUCACACAAUAAAAGGUACUGCUAUUGUAAACCUAAUACUUGCAUCUCCAAAUUAAGAGUUUUUGUCAGGUAAAGAUCCCAUCCAAGCCGGAGGAAACAUGCCUGUUUGCUCAUGGACAGUCUUAAACAGAGGCGGCAACAUCUUGUAGACACCAGCAACUUCUUUCAUACCCAUGGCACCUUCAGUUAUUCCCCCAUUAUUAUCACCACCAUUAGUCCAAAUACUAAUCUUAGGCUCAAGUCCGCGUACCGCCUCGGCAUUAAUCUUAGCAAUCUCUUGAAACAUGCCACCAUUUAUCAUCAAGUAAUCCCUUACAGCUGUGUAGUUGUUUCCAAGUGCAUUGAGAAGUGUACUUACAUACGCUCCUUGAGCAUUCCCAAGUGUCAUAAUCCCCUCUGCCUCUUUUUUCUUUGCGUAUAGCUCUGCUUCAGCUUCUUGCUUGCGAGCAUAAAAUGUGGAAUCUGCCAAUGCUUUUUGCGCUUCUGCCUCUGCCUUCUUCUCAUACAGAAUUGCUUCAGCCUCUUUUUGUUUCUUGUAUAAUUCCCAGUUAGCCUCUUGUACCUAGAGCAUCCAGAAUUUCAAUCAGCACUUAUAAAGUAAACAUUAAAAAUCUUCUUUUUUUUGGUGGUGGAACAUUGAAAAUCAUUGAUCGAGUAAACAACCUACUUGUUAUGUUUUACUUUUAAUCAAUGGUUUGCCUGUUAAAAAAAAUUGACAAGGUUGGUAGUGAUAACUCCACAUUCUUCGAUCUUUUUCUUAAUUCAAACAAACCAUAGCACUUGCUAACUCAACAAACUUGAGUAAAAGUACACAAAUAAUAGCAAGAAAAGGAUCAUGAUUUAGACUUGGCAUGUUCUUAACAAAACUGUCAUGAUACUACUAUUAUAUGAACAUACCGAAUGAUUUAAUUUUAUAAUGAUACAGAAAUUUAGCAAAUGAUAUAUGUUCAUUUGAAAGGUAUUAACUAUGGAUUUGCGGCCUCAAUUAGCAUUUUGCUACUUCUCUUUGUGUAAUGUUUAAUCUGUCGAUUGGGGGUCUCUAGCUUUUGAGAAACAAACAUUCAAAACCUAUCUGCAACCACAAUAUAGUUUAUUAAAAGGCAACUAUAUAGCACCAUUGAAUUUUUAACUCCCAUCCUAUGAUCUUCGUAAAUAUGCAGUGCACGGACGUAGGACUAUUGUAUAUUGAAACCAAUCACAAAGGGAGUAAAAUACUGUUAAAUUCAUACAUAUACCUAGAGCUUAAACUUAAAGUCCAACCUUAACAUCUCAAUAUAUAAUAUUCUCAUUACAUGUAUGCCAAAAAACUGUAAUUACAGCGACGUAAUUGAAGUAUUACUCUUGUUGCUAGUAAAACAAUUUGAAUAAUAAUUAACAAAUGAAAGAAGAAGUUAAAUUUGCAAGGACUAACCUUAGUGUCAUAUUCAACACUAGCUUUGCUAAGGAAAUCAGCUUUAAGCUUCUCAGUAGUAGUCAAAGCAUUCAUCCUCUCAACCUCACCUUGCAACUCAGCUUCCCUUAGAGCCACGGCUUUAGCAGCCUCAAGCUCAGCCACUUGAGCCGCCAUUGUCCAAGCAGCUUUCUUCUUAGCCAACUCGGAAUUAGCCUCAGCCACUUCAGCCUCUCUUUGAUUCUCAAAAACUUUCACUUCAGUCCUCACUUUAAUUCCCUGUUUCUCACCUUCUCCAGCCCUCUGCAUCGCAAUAACCUUCGUCUCUGCAUCAAUUUUCGCUGCGUUCUGGAUCGUUUGUCCUUCCCUCAAUUUUGAACCAAUUUCACCUUUCAUCUUGGCUUCUGCCACGUCAACCCUAGCUUGAUUUGCUGCUUCCAUUUGCGUCUUUUGUCCCAAAUAUGAGAAAUAUUCAUGACCCGGCACAUCCACCAAUUGCUUAACAUUGGCGUUGUAAAUCCAUAAUCCGAAUUGGUUCAAUUCAAGUUGAACUUUGUCGAAUACUUCUUGUUUAAAUUCUUUUGUUCCUCUGAAAACCUCUUCCAUCGUCAUUGAAGCAACGAGGACACGUGUCUCGCCUUCGAUGAUUCCUUGAACAAGUUCAUUAACGUGAUUGGAGAGUUUAUCAUGAGGGGAAAUUAGUUUGGCAUAUUUGAGGAGGCUUUCGUAAUCGUCAACACGAGGACCGAUUGUGAAGACGGCAGGGAGGACGAAAGGGAGUUUUUCAGCACUCAUGGCUUGAACUUCGAAGGUGUAGUUCACCGGUGAGAGGUCGAAGACAGUGCAGGAUUGACCUGGAAAAAUCCAUGCUUUCUUUUCAAGCUUUACAUCGUCAAUUCCGGCGCCAGUUAUCACAAGGUAUUCUGAUGCCUUUGCUACCCGGUACAUGUUGAUAAUGGUUUGAAUUCGAGAAGCUAGAAUAAGAAAAUUGAAGCUAAAGAAUUGUGAUAAUCGUUUGCGGACGAAGUGACUGUGUUCUUAUUCCUUAUUAUAGCUAGUGAAUUUGUUGUAGGAUCUUAUUUAUAGGAUCUUAUUUGACUUAUUCUCAGGGCAAAAACCAUCCUAUCCGAAAAAAAAAUAAAAAAAUGUCCAUCCAAUUUCAUUGAUUAUAUAUUUUAACAUUAAAUCAUGAGUUUAAUUAGGCCACAUAAAUUAAAAUCCUAUUCAUGAAUGUAAAAAUAAUUGCAUAAGAGUAUACUAAUUAAAUUAUUAAAUAUAUUUUUUUAAGAACAAGAAGAAAUCACCUCUAAAAAAAGAACAAAAAGAGAGAAAUGUACUGACAAUGGAAUUGGAAGUUUGGAACCUCUACUUCAUCUCGAUUUCACUAAAACACAGGGAAUAAACAACAAAUUGGAAUGAAUUUACUACUCUUUCUCUAACCAUUAAAUCAACAACAAAUUGGGAGCAAUUUACCCUAUCAAAAAAUUCAAUCACUUUAAAUAAAACAAACAGUAUUGAUCUUCACGGUAUGUAUGUGUUCCGUUUGACAGAACCAAGGGACUGGAGGAGAUGCGGUCAAACACCGCUGCCAGUCCUUGUUGAACCCUUACUCAAAUCUGUAGCCAAUAUCAUUAUGAUCAUUUGAUUCUCACUUCCAGUGUCAUUGUCAAAUGGGAUUUCCGUAAUCAUUUUUGUAAUCAAAUGGUUGGUGCGUGUUAGUUUCUUUUUGUAAAAUUAAGCUUUUCCCUUUUUUGUUUUAUACUUACUUCAUCAAAAAAAGGUAUUGUUUGUUUUUUAAUCUUUUUUUCUUUGUUUCUAUACUAACAAAUUAUUUCAUUUCAGUAUGAAUAAUGAGAGUAAUACAAGUUGGACUCAAAUCAAAAGUUUGGGAAUUGGCAGGAUCAUAACUAUUGCUCUUGGUUUAGGUAAUAAAUUUAGUUGGUAUCGCUACUGUUCUCCUUUGCAAUAUCACUAUUUGAAGAUUACCCGGUCAAUAAAAGGAGUGACGAAGUGCUUAAAAAUCUUAUCUAAACUAUUUGCGAGUGAAAUGCCAUAUUUCCAAUCCUUUGCAAAUAAAAAGAUGAUAAGGGUUAGUACUGCUGUGAACUUUUUUUAAUCAUAAAAACAUAAAUGGUGUUCAUAAAUUUAAAAUAGAGAACAUCUAAAUAACAAAUCACACAAUACUCUUUAAUAAAGCGUUUAUAAUGAGACAACUAAUUGUUCUACUUAUGUAUUUUAAACAAAAAAAAAUACAAAUCUAUGACACUAGGUGUUAAUAACCUAGAACCUGCAGGGAAAUGUCUGUCAUCAUUACAAAGUUGAAGUGAAAGCCGAAUCAGAAACAAAAGGAGAAGCAUAAGCAAAAUAGAAAGCAAGAAGCUAAAGCAGAACAGAUAGAAGCGCUAAAGCAGAACAGAAGCAAAAACUAAACAAAAGCAACAUAAGUAUAACAAAAGAAGCAGUGGCAGAAGGAACCUACAACAAAGUACCCCAAUUAAGAACAAAGAACGGAUCAUAAAAAAUGAGCAAUACUGAGAUCUCAGAACCAAGGGAAAAAUGAAAAAUGCCAGAAAAUAGUAUAUUCUUUGGCAUUUCUUUGUCGAAAUGAAAAUAGGAAAGGAAUAGAGGAGUGAGUAUAGGAAAGAAAACAAAAAGAAGUUUGCAAAAGAAAACAAAGCAAGUUCACCAUCAAAUGUUAGGAAAACAGCGAAUCAUGACUGAAUCGUUUAUCCUUCUGUCAUUAAGCACAUUGAGAUCAUAAAUGAUUACAAUGCUUCUAUGCAUCUAAAUAGAACAGCAUCUUCAAGCCUACAAAACAAAGCUCAAAGGGUCUACAACUCUCAAUUUUAUUUUGCUAACCAAACACCAGCAAUGUCCUAGCUGCUGCAGGAAACUAAUCGUGAAGGACAGCUUGCUCUAUAUAUGCAAUUUGUUGUACUGUUAGCAUAUAACAGAUAUGACAAUAUUGUAUCUUUAAAAUGCUUCUAUGUAUUAUUGUUAGUCCUUCUCAGGAGUUUUGUUUUUAUUGCGAAAAUUCAAUUCAUAAAAGAUCAAGCAUGUAGAGAAAUUUAAAUUAAAUUAGCAUAUAAAAAAAUAAAUUAGCAUAUAAAUAAAACUUUGAACUUCAAAACUAGAAAAGACUAGUGAAUCUCAGACAUGUAUCACAUGAUAAAAGGUACUACUGUUAAAUUACCAAAAUAAAAGAUACUACUACUGUAAACCUAAUACUUGCAUCUCCUAAUUAAGACUUAAGAGCUUUUGUCAGAUAAGGAUCCCAUCCAAGCAGGAGGCAACAUGCCUGUUUGCUCAUGGACAGUCUUAAACAGAGGUGGCAACAUCUUGUACACACCAGCAACUUCUUUCAUCGCACCUUCACCCCCACUAUUAUCACCACCAUUAGUCCAAAUACUAAUCUUAGGCUCAAGUCCGCGUACCGCCUCAGCAUUAAUCUUAGCAAUCUCUUGAAACAUGCCACCAUUUAUCAUCAAGUAAUCCCUUACUGCUGUAUAGUUGUUUCCAAGUGCAUUCAGAAGUGUACUUACAUACGCUCCUUGAGCAUUCCCAAGUGUCACAAUCCCCUCUGCCUCUUUUUUCUUUGCGUACAGCUCUGCUUCAGCUUCUUGCUUGCGAGCAUAAAAUG